GUUAUAUAAAAUUUUUAAACGAAAUGCAAAAUUACAAACAUUAAAUGCACGUUGAAAAGCAGUGGCUACGUAAAUCAAUCAUAUAAAGCAAUGUAUUCUAUGUCAGAUUUUUUACACCAUCCUCGGUGCACAAAAAAUUUCUCUACUACGUUUCGGUGCACAUGCAAUAGCUUGAUGUUGGUAAAUAGUUGAUCUGAACUAGUGAACUGCGGGU
This 214-nucleotide long non-coding RNA is filed under the name Elaeis guineensis (African oil palm). RNAcentral describes it as "long non-coding RNA (EGUI_LNC077971)". The record is from RNAcentral. Lineage: Eukaryota; Viridiplantae; Streptophyta; Magnoliopsida; Arecales; Arecaceae.